GGUGAUGUGGCCGAGCGGUCGAAGGCGGCAGACUUAAGAUCUGCUAUCGUAUGAUGUCGUGGGUUCGAACCCCACCGUCACCA
Transfer RNA from Ordospora colligata OC4, 83 nucleotides. It matches the Rfam family "tRNA". From Rfam's summary of the family: Transfer RNA (tRNA) molecules are approximately 80 nucleotides in length. NCBI's taxonomy places the organism in Eukaryota, Fungi, Microsporidia, Ordosporidae. The record is from Rfam.